UUCUUUGUUUCUUUUUUUUCUGAAAUCUUUUGUGAUUUUAACAUAUUAGAUUUCUGAACUUUUUUUUGUUUCAUUCUCUCUAUCUCUGUCCCCCUCUUUUUCUUGUAGGGUUUUUAGGAUCUCCUUGGGGGUAUGGUUUCGUCCUUCCAGUUCUCUAGCAUUCUUGUUUUUUUCUGCAUCUUUUCUUGUCUUGGUUUGGCAGUGUCAAUGGAGAAGAAGUGCAAGGGUGAGCCUUUCCGAUGUUGUGGACGACAACUUCCUGGCGAAGAUUAUGAUGAUUAAUUUAUCGACGGCGAACUUGCCCCAGGACUCGUCAUCAGCGAUCAGGUCGAUUGGGCCGCCGUUCUCACGUCUUUACAAUGACAUCCUCCAAAGAAGAAAGCCGUUUCUGUUGCAUAAGCAAAAACAAGUUUCUCAUGUGCUGGAGAAGGACCAAAUGCUCGUUCUGUACUGGGAAAUUAGGACAGAGCGUGAAGAAGAAUGACAAGACAUCCAUCUAUUUGCAGCAUUCCUGUUCUUUCCGUUUCAACAUCUGGGCCUUGCGGCACCCGACCAUUGUAGGCAGCAAGGAUGGAUUUUCACCAUUUUUUGUGUGCUCUCCAUAGAAUUUAACUUCUACUGUAAGAGCAAUUUCAUGAUUGGAUGGAGUGCAGGUACACGAGUUCACAGGAGGUACAGCCGCAUCUUUGCCAAUUGUCAUGAUCAUGCAUCUUCAUGAGGCGAGUGGAGGAUCUUGCUGAAAAGCAUCAGCACAAAGAAAGGCGUCUCCUCUACCCGAGCAGAUAUAUUCGGUUGCCCCAGUUCUAAAAUUCCUUUUCUGCAUUCUUUCAGUUCUCGUUGCUUUCCUUGUCUUUUUUUUUUUUGGAAAUCUAAGAAAAUUUCGUUGGAGUAAUUUUAUAGGUUGCAUCUGUCAUAAUUCAUUUUCAUUGUUUGCAGGCUUUAACUUGUGCACGUGUUCCCAUGGUGAAGCUGUUACAGGAAUUUCGUAUGACACGUGUAAACAAUGCUCUAGCUGUUGUUAAUACAAAGCUUCUUCAUGAUUAUGCACAAAUAGAUGUCAGACUUGGACAGUGCUGUGGAGGCUGUUUUGCUUAACUUCAUAAAUGGAACAUCCAAAGCCACUGCUUCAAGGGACAGCUGGAGGUGUGUCAGCAACUCUUCAGCUAGUCCAAGCACUGAACCAACAACCUCAAGUGCAUACUAUGGUGUGUGCAUGAGAUGCAAGGCUUCCUCUUUCGUUUCUCUUAUCUACUCAUUUUGUUGCUCUUUGGUUAUGAAUAAAACACAUACAGGACAUAAAGUGAGAUAAACGCUCUAGGAUGUGCUUUUAAGAUGUGGAUAGGUUUAGACUUUGUUCCAGGUUUUGAUUAGCUAAAGCAAAUGCUCUGGCCAGAAGGGGCAAUUUUUGAAGAUUCUCGUACAACGUGUGUUCAGAUUUUCUUGUUGUUUUCUUUAAGUGUAAGCAAUAGGUCUUAGAUGUGAUUAUUGUUUUUAAUCAAGUCUUAAACAGGUAAGGGUCCGGGUCUUUUGGUGCUUUCUACCUUGUUUUGUUUUGAGUAGCUUUAGUUUAUUUUUCUCUACAUGUUAGAAUUUAGCCUAUGUCAAUAACAAAAGCUUUCAGUCACCACUUCACUAUACACAGAAGGCCGUGGAUCUCCAUUCCAAGGAGAUGGAGCAUCCCUCUACUUCCCUUUAUAGUGGUGGAUCAUGGUCAGACAGCGGUAAGUGAAGCGUAACAGAAACAGCCUUUAUUGGUGCGAUACUGUGGCUUACUCUUGAGUCUGAUGUGCCCUGCUUAGAAUUUGGACUUUAGUCUUUAAAUUAUGUUCCUACCGAUGCUACAAACUUGCUUCUAUCCAUUAGUUCUAGCUGUGGGAUUUCCGAUAUUUGAAGGGCAGAGGUAUCUGUAUAUGCCUCUCUUACAAGCGUUUGCAACUUUGGACUUCAAUUCCGCAAUGUUCAGUUCUGUUCGUGUACUUUGCAAAAAAGAUUUUGCCUAUUUACUUGUUCCAGGCUCUCGAUUGAUGCUGAUAAUGUUCAGUCUCGGGGUUGAAACCAAGCGACUCGAAAGAUCUUCUUCAAGCAGAUGGCUUCCUAUGUUGAAGCUAUAGAGGCAGCUAAACUUCAGCGAGCCUCUGUAAGAUGCAAGAGGUGAUCAAUGAUGUAACAUAGGAUCUUUUGUAAUAUCUUUGUAGGUUCUAUAGUAAUCUAUGUUUAUCCUGCUCAGUUUUUCCAUGAAUCGGUGGAUAUUUGCAUA
Molecule: long non-coding RNA, 2257 nt
Organism: Nymphaea colorata (pocket water lily)
Lineage: Eukaryota; Viridiplantae; Streptophyta; Magnoliopsida; Nymphaeales; Nymphaeaceae
Exons: 4
Source: RefSeq, a predicted model, not a curated record